CGGCAAUGGAGGAAACUCUGACCGAGCAACGCCGCGUGAACGAUGAAGUAUUUCGGUACGUAAAGUUCUUUUAUUAGGGAAGAAUAAAUGAUGGAAAAAUCAUUCUGACGGUACCUAAUGAAUAAGCCCCGGCUAACUAUGUGCCAGCAGCCGCGGUAAUACAUAGGGGGCAAGCGUUAUCCGGAAUUAUUGGGCGUAAAGGGUGCGUAGGCGGUUAAAUAAGUUUAUGGUCUAAGUGCAAUGCUCAACAUUGUGAUGCUAUAAAAACUGUUUAGCUAGAGUAAGAUAGAGGCAAGUGGAAUUCCAUGUGUAGUGGUAAAAUGCGUAAAUAUAUGGAGGAACACCAGUAGCGAAGGCGGCUUGCUGGGUCUUUACUGACGCUGAGGCACGAAAGCGUGGGGAGCGAACAGGAUUAGAUACCCUGGUAGUCCACGCCGUAAACGAUGAGUACUAAACGUUGGGUAAAACCAGUGUUGAAGUUAACACAUUAAGUACUCCGCCUGAGUAGUACGUACGCAAGUAUGAAACUUAAAGGAAUUGACGGGACUCCGCACAAGCGGUGGAUCAUGUUGUUUAAUUCGAAGGUACCCGAAAAACCUCACCAGGUCUUGACAUGCUUCUGCAAAGCUGUAGAAACACAGUGGAGGUUAUCAGUUGCACAGGUGGUGCAUGGUUGUCGUCAGCUCGUGUCGUGAGAUGUUGGGUUAAAUCCCGCAACGAGCGCAACCCUUAUUGUUAGUUACCAGCACGUAAUGGUGGGGACUUUAGCAAGACUGCCAGUGAUAAAUUGGAGGAAGGUGGGGACGACGUCAAAUCAUCAUGCCCCUUAUGACCUGGGCUACAAACAUGAUACAAUGGCUGUUACAAAGAGUAGCUGAA
This 879-nucleotide ribosomal RNA is filed under the name Chinese Huanglongbing disease-associated phytoplasma. Its description in RNAcentral is "bacterial SSU rRNA". It matches the Rfam family "Bacterial small subunit ribosomal RNA", at positions 366 to 1254 of the family's 1533-position model. The record is from RNAcentral. Lineage: Bacteria; Bacillati; Mycoplasmatota; Mollicutes; Acholeplasmatales; Acholeplasmataceae.